CAGCAGCCGCGGGAAUACGGAGGGGGCUAGCGUUGUUCGGAAUUACUGGGCGUAAAGCGCACGUAGGCGGCUUUGUAAGUUAGAGGUGAAAGCCUGGAGCUCAACUCCAGAGUUGCCUUUAAGACUGCAUCGCUUGAACCAUGGAGAAGCGGGUGGAAUUCCGAGUGUAGAGGUGAAAUUCGUAGAUAUUCGGAAGAACACCAGUGGCGAAGGCGGCCCGCUGGACAUGUAUUGACGCUGAGGUGCGAAAGCGUGGGGAGCAAACAGGAUUAGAUACCCCUGUAGUCCCUGUCUCUUAUAC
Molecule: ribosomal RNA, 301 nt
Filed under: uncultured bacterium
Lineage: Bacteria
Description: partial 16S ribosomal RNA
Rfam family: Bacterial small subunit ribosomal RNA
Source: RNAcentral